Anguilla anguilla (European eel) is the source of this 203-nucleotide long non-coding RNA. RefSeq lists it as uncharacterized. NCBI's taxonomy places the organism in Eukaryota, Metazoa, Chordata, Actinopteri, Anguilliformes, Anguillidae. The transcript is spliced from 2 exons. The record is from RefSeq and is a predicted model, not a curated record.
GGCGCUUGCCGCGGUUAAAUUUUGUGCAAAGUUAAUCAGUUUAACGGUCAUUUUCUAGCGAGUUAAGUUUCCUUUGUGUGCGUCAAUAAACGGCAAACCACACAUACACACAUGCACACCCACCUGGUUUAAACCUAAGAGGAGAACAGAGAUUGCCUGUGCCUGUGUAUUUGCAUUCCAUUUAUAAUAAACCCCCAAAAGAA